AGGAGUUUAGGAUAACAGAGACCGAGAGCCUUCAAAGCCCUAAGCAAGUACAAAACACUUAACUCCUG
Non-coding RNA from Choloepus didactylus (southern two-toed sloth), 68 nucleotides. NCBI's taxonomy places the organism in Eukaryota, Metazoa, Chordata, Mammalia, Pilosa, Megalonychidae. The record is from the annotation of a RefSeq genome assembly.